GGGGAGAGGAGGAAGCAGUGGAGGGAGAAAAGGAAGGUGCAAUAGGAACUAGGAGGAAAGAAGCGGAGUAGGUGGAUAAGAAUAGCGCAGUAAGUGGGUGACGGAUUGAGUGGGAUAGGCAGGGUGGGAGAAGGAUAGUGAGGUUGGCAGGUAUGGGACGGUGGUGUAGUCAGAUGGGGGUUUGCAUUGUGUUCAGCAGCGAGACAGGACUCGUCAUGGUUAGAAUGGUGGAGCUGGUCUCAAUCAGUGGAGGAGGAGGGUGGAACUUGUGCUGCCCUUUGUGGUGUGCUCGUUGUUGGGGUGCCUCUGGGUGAAGGCAUUCCUUUGGGUAGGUUACAUACAUUGUUUGAGCUUGGGGAGACCGCUGCUGUCUCUGUGGCAGUAGCCCUGUGCCUGAUUCUUAGGCCAUCCUGGAAAUGAGUGGCUGCUUUGGAACUGGCCUUGAACGUGUGGCAAACCAGGGGAGGUAGAUUUGUACUCUAAACUGUACUCAUUGUCAGCUUGGGAAGCGCUGCUGUCUCUUGAAUUGCAGUACGUUCUCGCAUCUGGCUCUCGAAAGUUAUGCUUGAAAAUUGGUGUCUCGGCUUUGUGAAAGGGAUUUCAUUUACUACAACUAGUCCAUGAUGUUUGGCCAGUCAGUAUUCUUCGGUGAUAUCUGCCCUGGAAGUCCUUUUGUGUAGGUAUAUUUUCACGUUAUUUUUCAGACUACAAGCCUAUGCGUUUGUUACCUUGAAGGUAUGCAAUAUUUUUCAUAUUUUGAUAAUGAAUUAGUUUAAAACUGCUUUCUUGUAUUUUAAAGCUAUUUUACAAGAAAAUGAUUAAUAUAAAAUAGUUCUGCUGUUGACUUUGAUCCAGCAUGAUAUGUUCUAUUUUCACUGUUCAGUAAUGACAGCAUUUUGUUCUGAGUUAGACAUUAUAUGAAUUUAAAAUAAUUUACUUGAUAUUGUAUGAAUUAAAACAUAGAACAUUCCAGCACAGUCCAGACUCUUCUGUCCAUGAUAUUGUCCUGCACUUUUAACCUACUUCAAAAUCAAUCUAAACCUUCCCUCCCUCUUAGCUGCCCAUUUUUCUAUCAGCCAUGUGCUUAUCUAAGAGUUAUUUAAAUGUCCCUAAUGUCUGCCUCUAUCACCACCCUUGGCAGUGCAUUCCAUGCACCUACCACAUCCUGUAUGUAAAAAAAAUGUCUAUCUCUGCCAACCAUUUUGCCCUCUCAUAUUAGUAAUUUCUGCCCUGAAAAAAGUCUCUGGCAGUACACUUUAUCUAUAUUUCUUCAUAUUGUUUACCUUUAUCGAGUUGCCUCCCUUCCAGCUUCAUUCCAAAGUGAGUAACUGUAGCUGGCUCAACAUAUCCUCAUAAGAUAUGCUCUCUAAUCCAGGAAGCACCUGAGUAAAUUUUUGCACCUCUCAAAAGUUUUUGACAUCCUUUCUAUAAUGAGCUGACCAGAACUGAGCAUGAUGCUCCAAAUGUGCCCCAACUAGGGUCAUAGAGCUGCAGCAUUACCUCAUGGCUCUUGAACACAACAUCCUGACUAAUAAAAUCCAAAACACCAUAUGCCGUGUGGCAACUAUUGAUGAAUUAAUUUUGUAUGGACUCGGUAACUUAGUUCUUAAACAUUGACACUCUGCUAAAUCAAGUUGGGGAAUUUAUUGUUAAGGUCUAUAAGCUUAACCCUUUCACUUCUUUUGUAUAGUGUUAAUAUAUUUUGAAAUUGUACUAAUAUAACUGAAAUACACUGUAAUUAUGUGUUUAAUCCAUACAUUUUCUAAAUAAUAAAUGUACCACAACGUUUAUUUGAAACUUUUUAGAGUUACAAUGUAUUUACUUUCAGUGUUUCAAGUUAUAAUGCUGUAACAGAUUGUAACAAUAAACACAGAAUGGCAGUCAGUUGCUCAUUGUUAAUCAAUACAUCGGCACCUACAAAAUAAAAGCUAGUGCUUGCCGGUUUCAGGCCGUGUAAACUUCCUCAGAGCAAUGUUAGUGCAGCUGUGCAAAUAAAUAAAUAUAAUUAGAGGGAAUGUUGCAACAUACCAAAUUCUUUUUAUUUUUUAAAAGUUAAAUAUUUUAAAGUUUUAGAUCAUUGCAAUGCAUGUUGAAGACGAACAACGAUGGAAUCUUUUAACUGGUUUCUACUGAUACCAUAAAUAACCAUGGAAAAAAAUUAGAAAAUGAAACAUAUCUGGAAUAAUCAGUAAAAUAUCACAUCUGAAAAGUUAGAUGCACGUUUUGGAAACUGAGGAAACAGUCAUAGAGCACGACAUCACAGAAACAAGGCCUCUUAGUCUGUCUAGUCUUUGCUAAGCUGUUAAAUCCAUGUACCUAUCCAUACUUCUCUUAAAUUUUAUUAUGUUGGAGUUCUGCACUUCCACUGGUGGCUUGUUCCACACUUGCACCACCCUCUGAAUGAUGAAGCUUCCCCAUAGGUUACACUUAAAUAUUUCCCCUUUCAUAGUCCCUUUGAUGGUCUUGGUUGUUCGGCUUUUUUAAUAGGUUCUAUUGUGUCUGUUUUGUGGCUGGCUGGAAGAGGACAAAUCUCUAGGUGUAUAAAAUACACAUACUUUAAUUAACUUUGAACCUGUGACCUCUAGUUCUUACAGUGAAUCUAAUAGACUAGUGCAAAAAUGUCUUUGAUUUGAUGUUAAUGUGUGCAGCUUGAAUCGUUUUAAUGUCUUGUAUGUUAAUAGCUAAUUAAUGUGGUAAAGUGAAGCAAUCAAUUCUGUAUAUAGAUCAUUAUUCCAAAAUAAAGAAUACCUUGCUGAAACACAAUCUAUGAAACUGUUUAUUUUGUCUGUCUCUUUCAUUGCUUUAGAGCUGUGCUCUUGUGCCAGAAACUUAGGAAAUAAUCUGUUAAAGUGUGGUGUUCUUUAGGCUUUGGUCCUGUUAGUUUUAUAUUUUUGAGAAAUUAAAGAAAAUGUUGGACAUCUUCACCACAUUAACUUGUUGAUAUCCUCAACUGCCCUGAGAUGUGUGGUAGUAUUAAAAAAAAGACAUCCUUAACAGAUUUAGCAGAAAUAUGACUGACUGGGUUCUAAAAUUAAUAUAUGCGGAUGAACACAUGAAGAGACUUAAGCCACAGAGCAAUGGACUGAGCUAGGAAGAGGGAUUAACAAAGCUUUAAUUUUUAGCUGACAGAUGCCACCUAUUGCAUUUGUUUCCUGUUCUGCAAACUUUUAUAUUUUGUCCAUCUUAAACAUGUGCAAACAGUGAGUAUCCAUGGUGACAUCAUUGAAAUAUUCCCACAACCAAUGGACUCACUUUCAAAGACUCUUCAUCUUGUGUUCUCGACGUUUAUUGCUUAUUUAUUAUUAUUAUUUAUUUUAGUAUUUGCAGGGUUUGUUGUCCUUUGCACACUGGUUGAACACCCAAGUUGGUGCGCCCUUUCAUUGAUUUCUGUUAUGGUUAAUAUUCUAUACAUUUAUUGAGUAUACCCACGAGAAAAUGAAUCUUAGCAUUGUUUUAUGGUGCAAGUAUGUACUUUGAUAAUCUACUUUCAACUUUGAUAUGAUUCAGAAAUUUAUAGAACAAAUUCCUUACUAAAAUAUGAAUCCAAUUUCUGAUGUACAAAAUGGUCAUUUCCAGCCCCGGCUGUACAGUGAAGAUAACAAUGCCACUUACGGAGUUGUAGACAAUAGACAAUAGGUGCAGAAGUAGACCAUUCGGCCCCUCGAGUCUGCACCGCCAUUCUGAGAUCAUGGCUGAUCAUUCACUAUCAAUACCCAGUCCCUGCCUUGUCCCCAUAUCCCUUGAUUCCCCUAUCCAUCAGAUAUCUAUCCAGCUCCUUCUUGAAAGCAUCCAGAGAAUUGGCCUCCACCGUCUUCCGAGGCAGUGCAUUCCACACCUCCACAACUCUCUGGGAGAAGAAGCUCUUCCUCAACUCUGUUUUAAAUAACUGACCUCUUAUUCUCAAUCCAUGCCCUCUGGUACUGGACUCUCCCAACAUCUGGA
Long non-coding RNA from Hypanus sabinus (Atlantic stingray), 3942 nucleotides. RefSeq lists it as uncharacterized. The record is from RefSeq and is a predicted model, not a curated record. Lineage: Eukaryota; Metazoa; Chordata; Chondrichthyes; Myliobatiformes; Dasyatidae. The transcript has 3 exons.